ACCCCGCAGCCCUGAGCUGGCGUCCUCAAGUUACCAGCAACCCCACUGGGUGGUCCUGACAAGAUGUGAGUGGCUUUUGUGUCCUCAUCAUCGGCACAGUAAGGGUACGUGAUAACAUGAUCGUUGGCCCCGUGACCAGUUCUCAAGCAAACGGGUCAGCGGCCUUGGGUGUGUGAACAGCGCCAGGAGGUACCAGGACACGGGCUUCCCGCAGAAGGAAGCUGCGCCUGCCAAGCCCACGGCCCCCACCGCCAGCCGCCCAGAACCACCGGCCUGGGCCUGUCUUUAGACAUUUCGCACGCCUGGAAUCCUACCCCGCGUGGCCUCCUGGCUUCUGUCCCUCCCCGAGCUGCAGGUUGGUCCCGGUGGCGGCGGGCGUCAGCGCUUCCCACCUCGUGUGGCCUCGCGGUUGUCGGUUGUCCAGUCCGGCGGCCGGGCUGCGGACCCGCAUCUGCGCCCACGAAGGGGGGUGUGGCUCCCGCACUCUGCCUGGAGAAUCCCGCAAGCACGUGCAGACCUCCCCUGGCAGUGCCCGGGUUCAGUUCUCUGGUGUGGAUACGUCAGAGGGGAACGUCUGCGUCUUAUAGGAAGGGGCUCUCAAGGCUAAACCCCAACAGGGCCACUCCAGUAUCGCCCAGCCUCCCGCAGCCUUCACCCCACUGUUCUGCUUGGCUCUCCUCCAUGGUGCACCCCUGCCCCCACGGCUCCGUGGGUCCCUCCACAGGACCCCAGCCACAAGCCCUAAGUGCUGGUGACCACGGCCAUCCAACGCAGACCUUGCGCCCCAACACCGUGCUCCCUCCCCUGGGGAGCCCUGCCUCCUUGCACGUGAGGAGGCCCAGGUCUGCAUCUCCGGGCGUGUCUUGUGGUACCCAGAACUCAAAGGGCCCCAAACUGGGCUCCUGCCCACCCCUGAUCCCACAAACCUGCAGACCCCAGCAUCCCCAGGGUGUUGCCAUGGCCAGCUGCCCAGCCUCAAGGCUGGGUGGGGUCACCCUUGACUUGUCCUCUUCUUCCUGCUCUCAAGCACAAGUCCUAGGCCUUCCUCCACUGGUCAGACUCUCUAUUUUUCCGCGAGCAGGCCGCCAAAUUCCUCCCCCGAUUCUGCCAGGAGCCAGGGAGCUGGUCUCCCGUGGGUCCCGCCCUCUCCAAACUGUUGUGCACACCCUGCGACCUACCAGUAGGUGGGGCUCCAGGUCCACCCCGUUCCUAAAACACUUCCCAUCUCCCCCGCCCCCGCCCCAUUGCGGGACGCCCUUCCCGAUUCUCCUACCCUGGCCCUUCGGAAUCACUUGGCACCUCAUCCGGGACUGUGUCCCUUGCCAUCAUCCUCCAGACCCGCUCAGCACCUGCCAAGAUGUUGCCUCCUCCAGGAAGACUGCCCUGACCAGUGAGAAAGCCCCGGGGCCCCUCCUUUCCCGCCCAGCCGUGAGAAUCUCAUGGUCUUUUAGGCCUCCUUUGCGGAGCCGUCUCUUCUCUGGCCUGUCAGCCCUGGAGGCACCUCAGGGCGUUGGGCUGAGCGCGUUCCCCGGAGAAGGCACACCUGUGGAUGCCCAGGUGGGGCACAGAGAACGUGUGUCCACAGACGGCUCUUGGGGUCCCAGGAGCUCGUUUUGAAUACCGCGGAACCAUGGUGUGAAGGAGGCUCCUGGAUCCCAGUAAAACCUUCCUGACUCAGGGGACAGUGGUGACUUGGUGGUUCACAGCAACGGGCAUCUGAUGACCAUCUUCCUUUCUCUUUGGGGGCUGGAAGAUGCCAUCAAACCCACAGGUCACAGCACAGGCAGGCCAAGUCCCAAGACUUUGCUCUUUCUUCUGUUCUAAUGUACACAACCACCCGGUGGGCAGGGAUAAGUGAGCUUGGGAACCACGGACCAGAUGUGGAAGGACACAACACCUUCAUGUGGCCCAGGACCUGGCUUGGAACCACUAGAAGGUGCCUCUGUAGUCAGGCCAGGGGCCAAGGAGCCUGGAGCAGGCUGGGGGGUGGAGGGAGGGUCCGAGGGAUGCCCCAUCCCUUUGAGGAGCUUGCAAAGGCAGCCCCUUGAAGGUGGGUAGUAGGACCAGUGUCCCAGCUAGGUCACUACUACCUAGAACAUCCCGGGAAAGUCUCAGUCCGACAAAGAGACCCCCCUCUUCCCCCACCCCGUAGAGACAUGGGGUAUGUCCUGGAUGAAACUGGGAGGCCAAGGGACAGCAAUACAGCAGAGCCAGGAGGAGGAAGUGGAAGACGCCAGCCUGGGGUGGAGGAGAGGGGGCUGCAGGGUCCUCCUGGUGAUCCGCGUGCAUUCCCCAGAGCCGGAAGACAAGGCUGCCAUCCUCCUACAAUGGGUCCCGAGGUCAGAAAGGCAGGUACGGCCCCACAGACCCAGCCCUGCCCUCUUGCAGGGAAUCUUUUCUUCCUUAGUUUGCUUUGAUGUGCAAAAGCUCUUAACAUGGAUGAAGCCCAAUUUAUCUGU
Molecule: RNA transcript, 2459 nt
Organism: Lutra lutra (Eurasian river otter)
Lineage: Eukaryota; Metazoa; Chordata; Mammalia; Carnivora; Mustelidae
Exons: 3
Source: RefSeq, a predicted model, not a curated record